This is a regulatory RNA element of 92 nucleotides. It matches the Rfam family "L2-Alphaproteobacteria ribosomal protein leader". The record is from Rfam.
GGGGACCUUCGGGGCCCUUUUACUUCGGUCACCUCGCACGAGGGGGCUUACAUCAGGCGGGUUUCCCGCCAGUAGCUAACGGAAGACAGAAA